Molecule: ribosomal RNA, 445 nt
Filed under: uncultured bacterium
Lineage: Bacteria
Description: bacterial SSU rRNA
Rfam family: Bacterial small subunit ribosomal RNA
Source: RNAcentral
GUAAGGAAUAUUGGACAAUGGCCGAAAGGCUGAUCCAGCCAUGCCGCGUGCAGGAUGAAGGUGCUCUGCAUUGUAAACUGCUUUUGUUCGGGAAUAAACCCCUCUACGUGUAGAGGGCUGAAUGUACCGAAAGAAUAAGGGACGGCUAACUUCGUGCCAGCAGCCGCGGUAAUACGAAGGUCCCAAGCGUUAUCCGGAUUUAUUGGGUUUAAAGGGUGCGUAGGCGGGUUGUUAAGUCAGUGGUGAAAGCCGGCAGCUCAACUGUCGAAUUGCCAUUGAUACUGACGAUCUUGAAUGUGGUUGAGGUGGGCGGAAUGUAUCAUGUAGCGGUGAAAUGCUUAGAUAUGAUACAGAACACCGAUUGCGAAGGCAGCUCACUAAGUCACUAUUGACGCUGAGGCACGAAAGCGUGGGGAGCAAACAGGAUUAGAUACCCCAGUAGUCC